Molecule: ribosomal RNA, 498 nt
Filed under: uncultured bacterium
Lineage: Bacteria
Description: partial 16S ribosomal RNA
Rfam family: Bacterial small subunit ribosomal RNA
Source: RNAcentral
GACGAACGCUGGCGGCGUGCCUAAUACAUGCAAGUCGAGCGGACGAUUCGAAAGCUUGCUUUUGAAUCGUUAGCGGCGGACGGGUGAGUAACACGUGGGCAACCUGCCCUGUAGACGGGGAUAACACCGAGAAAUCGGUGCUAAUACCGGAUAACACGAAAUGUCGCAUGACGUUUCGUUGAAAGGCGGCGCAAGCUGCCGCUACAGGAUGGGCCCGCGGCGCAUUAGCUAGUUGGUGAGGUAACGGCUCACCAAGGCGACGAUGCGUAGCCGACCUGAGAGGGUGAUCGGCCACACUGGGACUGAGACACGGCCCAGACUCCUACGGGAGGCAGCAGUAGGGAAUCUUCCGCAAUGGACGAAAGUCUGACGGAGCAACGCCGCGUGAGCGAAGAAGGCCUUCGGGUCGUAAAGCUCUGUUGUUAGGGAAGAACAAGUAACGUAGUAACUGACGUUACUAUGACGGUACCUAACGAGAAAGCCGCGGCUAACUACGUG